Molecule: unclassified non-coding RNA, 343 nt
Filed under: soil metagenome
Description: partial contains 5.8S ribosomal RNA, internal transcribed spacer 2, and large subunit ribosomal RNA
Rfam family: 5.8S ribosomal RNA (bases 1-120)
Source: RNAcentral
GAUGAAGAACGUAGCGAAAUGCGAUAAGUAAUGUGAAUUGCAGAAUUCAGUGAAUCAUCGAAUCUUUGAACGCACAUUGCGCCCGCUAGUAUUCUGGCGGGCAUGCCUGUCCGAGCGUCAUUUCAACCCUCAAGCCCCCGGGCUUGGUGUUGGGGAUCGGCGAGCCUCCGCGCCCGCCGUCCCCUAAAUCUAGUGGCGGUCUCGCUGUAGCUUCCUCUGCGUAGUAGCACACCUCGCACUGGGAAACAGCGCGGCCACGCCGUUAAACCCCCGACUUCUGAACGUUUGACCUCGGAUCAGGUAGGAAUACCCGCUGAACUUAAGCAUAUCAAUAAGCGGAGGA